AAAAUGGACACUCACAAGAAAUGGUCCGGCCCAACAACGCCCAAACGGAGCAACACUGCAACUAGACACAGCCCGCACAAAGCCCAUAAAACUAAGCGGACUCCCACGGCACAACACCACAGACAGCCUCGAUGCAAAGCAACGACCCAACGAGGAUUCAAAAGGGGCAAGGCCCACCCAGAGAGACCGAGGGGAUGGCAGACUGUCAAGCCUAAACUAGAUACCGCCACACUGCCACAUCAAACAGUAAACAGCCAGCCACAGCAUCGAUCAGCACAACUCAC
This is a non-coding RNA of Pelobates cultripes (western spadefoot toad), 284 nucleotides long. The record is from the annotation of a GenBank genome assembly. NCBI's taxonomy places the organism in Eukaryota, Metazoa, Chordata, Amphibia, Anura, Pelobatidae.